GCACUUCUGUAAAUGCAACUCAAGAAAGUUCCAUUUGGUUGCAGACCUCUAGCGCUUAUACAGAAGGAAGCACUGGUAGGUUGGUUAAUUUUAAUAAUUUUUUUUUAAUAAUUAUGAAUAGGGGGACAGUAAUUUCAUAUAUUUGCGAAGAGAAAGUCAGAAAUGAAUAUGCUGAUCUUGUCAAAACUAAAAUACUUGGUCGAAUCAGGAUGACAUUGACUAUUCGACGCGAUUGUAUCCACGACUGUAAAGUAUACAAAAUUGAAAAUGAGUGUUCCUUCGGAAACCAAAAUGAUCUUGCUCUACCUUCCCGACAACAUUAACACAAUACCAAAUUAUCGUCCUUUGAUUGCAAUGAUGUUAAGUCGAAAUCAACAAAACUGAUCUAUAAUAAAUGUAUACUAGAUCCUUAAACGAUUUUGUAUAUACGAAAUUUUAAGUAUGUUGCAUAUCAUGAUUAUAACAUUAUGCAUAUGUUUCUUAACAUUCCAUUAAGGAAAACUUAUGCACAGAAUACACGACCCGAAUUUGGGAAUUUCUCAAACAAGGUUAUUUUUAGAAAUUUAAACAAGGUUCCAUAUAUGCAUGUUUCUACAACAACUCUUCGUCGGAACAUGGGAAAUGAUUUAUAGUUUGCGUUAUUUUUUCAUUUCAUUUUCUAUUUUGAUUAUUAUAUACAGUUCUCAUAAUUUAGAAAAAUAAUCAUAAUAAAGAUAUCUUUACUUUGCGUAAACAUGGUAAACGAUCUCGGGAUUUUUUAUAGGUACAUGUAGCAUGUUUCAGUAACUGAAUGUGAUUUUCAAACCUCUCCGAUAUCCUCUUGGUGUUUGUUAAUACUUUGCAACAAAACAAAACAAAAAUUGUUACACUCUCUGAAUUCUGAUUUUUAGUUGUAGUAUGAAGCAGUUUUUCUGUCAGUCGUAUACCCAAUGUAAAUAUGAAGGGGAUAUGGAGCAAAUGUACAUGAGACACUAUUACUAUCAAGUCAUAGUAAAACCUAAAUAUUGAACUUUUUAGUGUUGCCCUUCAUCUUGAAGUGAACAUUCGACAAUGAUCAAUAUUUCACAUAACUGGUAGUUAGUUCAAGUUGACCCUUCGCAUUGGUUUGAGCAGAAUUCGUCGUUAAAUAUCAUACAAAAGUUACAUUCCUAAUUUUAUGAAUAUUUUUGAUACUUUUAAAUUUCACCGAAAAGCGAAAAGAAAUGAAAACACCAUGUCCAGCAUUAAUAAACCUUUACUUGGGGGAAUAAUUUGAUAUUUGUUUUAUUUAAGAUUUUUUAUAUCUUUUGCCAAACGAAGGCGGGAAAGGAAAAUAGUAUUUCAUCUGUCCAUCAUACAGUACACGUAAGAAAGUCCGUUUAUCUAGUUUAAACAUAUUUAUUUUCAGUGGAUUGAGAAACAUGUUAUUGCAACUAAUAUUGAUCCCUUUCCAUUUUGCGGGUACGAGUGUUGCCUUUUAUCCUGCAAUUGGGUGUCCUAAUACAGAUACAGACCUACAGAUAUCGCUAUGCUGUAUUUGUAUAUCCUACAGAUAUCGCUUUAAAGCUCCGCCCACAUGCCGGACUGAGUAUUGCAUGAACCUGCGUGACCUCGGAAUGUGUAUUGCAGUCGCAUUCCAAUGACAUAUUGUUUGACCUUAUGCGAAUUACGAUUACUUUUAUACAUUUGUACGUUAUGUUUGUUUUCAAAAAAUUUCUUUAUAUAGCAAAAACAAUUACACCAAUUUUCCAAUAACAUACACACACGAACAGCAGUCUUUUCUAAGAUGACAGUUAUCAAUUUCAAAACUUGAAUUUGUAUGAUUGUGUAACAAAUUCAACUAUGUCAAUUUCAGCAUGCAUGUUUAGUGAAUGUCAAGUCUGAAGCGUAGGACAACUCGUACACUUCUGUUUCAAAUGAGAAAUUUUUUUCUGUGUAUUUUUCUGUUGAAAUUAGUUGUUAUGUAAAAUAUAUAAUUAUUCACCUUGAUCGAUGUAUUACUGUUGACCAUUCAAUUCUUUUUUUUGGCGAACCCGUCUUCAGAUGAACGUGUGAUUUUAAUAUAACUACGCGGGCCUCAAGGGAUUUCAAAUCGAAAAUAAAGCCACAAAAGUGGGUUUUUGAAUCUUUCAAAUCAGAAACAAUAUACAGAAUUAAUUGCAGGAUAAAGCUCUCAUUACACCUGUUUCGUAGUCUCGUACACAUACAGCUGAUAUUUUAAGACACUAAACAAUUAUUGUAUAUGUAGCUGAACUAGUCUUCUCUUUUUCUAAUUAUACAAGGUGUCAUUAUUAAUGCAAGAAACAUGGCUUUUUCUUUUUAAGUAGGGUAAGUCUGUUAUCGUCCCCUUCCGACAGAAUAUCAUCGUUUCUCAAGACCACACUCGGAAAUGAUGUCAAGGGAGAGCCGAAAAUUCGGUCCCUGAAAUGUUCUCCACAAAACGGGGAUCUAACAAGAAACCUUUGCGUUAGUAGUCCGAUGCACUAACCACUUCAACACGGCUUUCCAUCUAUUUGUGGAAGUAAAAGUUAUUAUAGAUCAUGAAAUUUUGUUCAUAGUGCGUCUUGAAUAACCGAGGGGUCCUUAUAAAAAAUAAGGUUAUAUUGACCAAAAUUUCACAUAUAUGAGUGACUGAUUAAAGUUUGCGUUAAAGUCCAUAUCUGAGAAAUAAUAUUUUGUCAGUAGAUGCGUCUGUAAUAGUGAGAAUCGAGGGUCCUAAAAAAGGAAUAUUUAAUCUUGACAUACAAUUCAUUGAUGAGUAAAUGAGGUGAAAGACUGCAUUUAAAUCCAUAUCUGUUAUGAUGAAUACAAAUAUUGUGUCAGUAGAUGCAACUUUCAUAGUCACGAGUUUCAAAAUCAAGUUUUGAAAAAAGAAUUAGGUGAUAUUAUAUUAUUAAUAUUAAUACCAUAUAUUAUUAUAAUAGGACCAGUUCUUUUAAUUGAGGAUUAAAAUCAACUCAAUAUACAGAUUGUUUAUAUAAUAUUUUGCACCUCAUUUCCACCUCCGUAUUUCCGGCCCAAAAAUUUGGUACAUGCACCAAUCUACUCUCUUGUUAAUAAUUGACAUUAGUUUAAGUCAAAUAUCUGUGCUAAUUUCUUUGCAGGAGAACAUACUCAAGGGGUACUGAUAUAUAUAAUUUGUGUAGGAGCAUUGACACUCGUAGUAACACUAACAAUAAUAGUUAUGAUACACAAGAGAAGAGGAAAACAAGUUAAUUGCACGGCACGCUAUCAUAUAAACAACAGUUCAAAUCUGCAAACGCAGGACUUGCCAGAUGAACUUUACACAACAAUUUUAUAAUAUAUAAUUGUUUUAAAAUACAUUUAUGAUGAACAAUCUCACUGAAAAUUAUGAUUUUUCAUGAUUCUCGGCUUUGACUAAAAGGACAAACAUUUGAUAUUCAGGAAGAGAAGAUUUUUUGGCAGACUGAAUACUGAUUUACAUCCGCUACUUUGCAUACGUUUUGUAUG
Molecule: long non-coding RNA, 3450 nt
Filed under: Mytilus galloprovincialis (Mediterranean mussel)
Lineage: Eukaryota; Metazoa; Mollusca; Bivalvia; Mytilida; Mytilidae
Source: RNAcentral